CGCAGCCGCAGUGCCGCCAGGCCUUGUGUUCCGACCCCUCCCCUCCUCCGCCGGCCCCCCCGCCCUCGGUAUCAGUGGCUGAGGCAGGGGCCCGAGCCCGGGCGCAGGCCCAGGCGGCCGUGCAAGAGGGUGUGGGUGUGGGUGUGGGCAGUGAGCCGCGGGCUGUGUCAGCCUCGGCGCUGCUGCUGCCGCCUUCCAGGGCCCUCGGUUCCCCUUGGACAGAGGCCGGCGCGGUUCCGGGGCCGCCCAGGUGUGAAGAUGGAACACUCUAAAAAGGUCUGCUGAAAGUAAGGGGAAGGAAAAAACAACAUUUGAAAAAAAGUUGGAUGCUGCGCUGGAAAAACUUCAGUAAUGGAUCAAAGAAAGAAUGACAGUAUUGUUCCUAGUAUCACUCAGUUAGAAGAUUUUCUUACAGAACACAACUCCAAUGUUGUUUGGCUCCUCGUUGGUAGGUAGAAUAUGUUUUCUUGUACUUUAUUAUUUUGUGUAUAUGGAUUAAUAACUGCCAUGUUUUAGCAGUGGUUAACUGAAGUUGGAAUGUGUUUAAUACUAUUUGCUUAUUUUUAGGAAAGAAGAUUUUAAUCUGUGUUUCUGUGAAGAUUUUGAUCUAUGUUUUGCUCUGGAAACUGCUCUGGAAUGCUCUUUAUUUUGAGCUCUCUCCCUGCCUGACUUGGGGAAAAUAGGACAGGAAUAAAGACAUUGGACUUAACAUGACUUUCCCAUUUUAAUUCCAUACCCCCAACCCCCAAUACACACACAAGCAUCUUUUAUUGUAAAAGUAAUAAAUUCUCAUAAUAAAUGUAUUUUUAAAGUAAAGUAGAAUAUAUAUGCUUAAUUAAACUUUUAAUCUCUUUCCAGUCUCCUUAGGUACUUCACAUGGCCUCUUGUUAUGAACAAUUUUUUGUGUAAUACUCCAGAAGUUUUCCAGGCAUAUACAAAUAGUACAAAGCAGUAUAUAAGUAAAUGGUGGGGAGGGAGGGAAUAUGAGUGAGUGAAUGAGAGGGAGAAAUACAAAGAUAAUAUCUGGGGAGGGAGAGAUUUCUGUACAGUUAUUACCCAGGAAGUUUUUGUGCAAAAAUGUCAUUUGAUUUGAAUUUUGAGAUAUAAUUUGGAAAGGUAGA
RNAcentral lists this long non-coding RNA (1121 nucleotides) under Dasypus novemcinctus (nine-banded armadillo). RNAcentral's name for it is "lncRNA (ENSDNOG00000052226.1)". Lineage: Eukaryota; Metazoa; Chordata; Mammalia; Cingulata; Dasypodidae. The record is from RNAcentral.